UCACAUGUUUAAUGUAUAAAUAGACGUCACAUUUUUUCUAACUCCUGUAAAAUGUCGGAGAGGAACGCCAACAUCCACUGAUGGAGGAGGAGAAAGAUGGCGGACGGGAGCACCAGCAUCUACCAGUGGAGGAGAAUAAAUACUAUUAUUAACCAAAACAAUGUAAGUAAAACCUCUCGUUUACACAGAAACACACUUCACACGUUUAAUGUAAAAAAUGACAUUACUUUAUCAUUAUGCCUGUAAAAUGUUGGACUUGACCACCAGAAUUCACUGAUUGAGAACAAGGAAGAUGGAAGACUACCAUCAUCUACCAGUGGAGGAGGAGGAGGAGAAAAAUGCGGGAGCACCAGCAUCCAAAAGUGUCCCAUAAUCAGCCCCAGGAGGAGAUAUCAGCAGAGGAAAGAAAGACUAUUAACCAAAACAAUGUAAGUAAAACCUUUUAUUUACACAGAAAGACAAUGAACUUUUUUUUAUUGUAAAAAUGUUGUCAUUGGUAAAAAAAUAAAUAAAUGAGAAAUAGAUGUUUCUUUACACUAAAACCUGUAAAUUGUCCACCACAGUGUCCAACAAUCAGCCCCAGGAGGAGACGCCAGCAGAGGAAAGAAACAAUAUUAACCAAAACAAUGUAAGUAAAAUCUCUCAUUUACACAGAAAGACACUCACAUAGUUAAUGUAUGAAUAGACGUCACGUUUUACUAACGCCUAUAAAAUGUCGGAGAGGAACGCCAACAUCCAAUGAUGGAGGAGAAGAAAGAUGGAGGACGGGAGCACCAGCAUCUACCAAUGGAGGAGAAGAAAUACUUUUAUUAACCAAAACAAUCAUCCACUGAUGGAGGAGAAGAAAGAUGGAGGACGGGAGCACACAAACAUCUGCACAAGACGGAGAUGAAGAAAGACUUCUAUCAAUCAACCAAAAACAAUGUAAGUAAAGCCUCUUGUUUGAACACACAUUUAAUAUAAAAAUAGAUGUUAAUUACUGUACUAGUGUCUGUAAAAUGUCUUGUGUGUGAUUACAGAUUCACUUCAGAGGAGAAUCAGACUGUUCCAGAUGUUCAUCACCACAGCACAGAAUGAGACAGCAGUAGUAGUAGUAGUGUUUACUCUGACUGCUUUCAUUUCAACUAUAAAUAAAUAAAAAAUAAUAUCUUAAGAAAUCA
Molecule: long non-coding RNA, 1160 nt
Filed under: Gouania willdenowi (blunt-snouted clingfish)
Lineage: Eukaryota; Metazoa; Chordata; Actinopteri; Blenniiformes; Gobiesocidae
Description: lncRNA (ENSGWIG00000008454.1)
Source: RNAcentral